CAGAAAUUGGUAACCGAGUUCAC
This 23-nucleotide non-coding RNA is filed under the name Arabidopsis thaliana (thale cress). The record is from RNAcentral. Lineage: Eukaryota; Viridiplantae; Streptophyta; Magnoliopsida; Brassicales; Brassicaceae.